GGAGUUGUGGCUUAGUGGUAGAGCACUUUCCUGGUAUGUGUGAGGCCCUAGGUUCGAUCCUCAGCACCA
This 69-nucleotide transfer RNA is filed under the name Ictidomys tridecemlineatus (thirteen-lined ground squirrel). RNAcentral describes it as "Spermophilus tridecemlineatus (thirteen-lined ground squirrel) tRNA". It matches the Rfam family "tRNA". Rfam says of the family: Transfer RNA (tRNA) molecules are approximately 80 nucleotides in length. Lineage: Eukaryota; Metazoa; Chordata; Mammalia; Rodentia; Sciuridae. The record is from Rfam by way of RNAcentral.